GAAGCUUGCUUCUCUUGAGAGCGGCGGACGGGUGAGUAAUGCCUAUGAAUCUGCCUGGUAGUGGGGGAUAACGUUCGGAAACGGACGCUAAUACCGCAUACGUCCUACGGGAGAAAGCAAGGGACCUUCGGGCCUUGCGCUAUCAGAUGAGCCUAGGUCGGAUUAGCUAGUUGGUGGGGUAAUGGCUCACCAAGGCGACCAUCCGUAACUGGUCUGAGAGGAUGAUCAGACACACUGGAACUGAGACACGGUCCAGACUCCUACGGGAGGCAACAGUGGGGAAUAUUGGAGAAUGGGCGAAGACCUGAUCCAUCCAUGCCGCGUGUGUGAUGAAGGUCUUCGAAUUGUACAGCACUUUAAGUUGGGACGAAGGGUUGUACAGUAAUACUCUGCGCUUUUGACGUUACCGACACUAAUCAAGUCACUCGGCAUAAUCUCUGGUUGCGCAGACAGCCCGCGGUAAUACAUAGGGUGCAAGCGUUAAUCGGAAUUACUGGUGCGUAAAGCGCGCGUAGGUGGUUUGUUAACUUGUAUGUCAAAUCCACGUGCUCAACCUGCCAACUGCAUUCAAAACUGACUGACUAAAUUAUGGUAAAGGC
This 599-nucleotide ribosomal RNA is filed under the name Pseudomonadales bacterium. RNAcentral describes it as "bacterial SSU rRNA". It matches the Rfam family "Bacterial small subunit ribosomal RNA", at positions 75 to 658 of the family's 1533-position model. The record is from RNAcentral. Lineage: Bacteria; Pseudomonadati; Pseudomonadota; Gammaproteobacteria; Pseudomonadales.